This 1229-nucleotide ribosomal RNA is filed under the name metagenome. Its description in RNAcentral is "bacterial LSU rRNA". It matches the Rfam family "Bacterial large subunit ribosomal RNA", at positions 1564 to 2808 of the family's 2925-position model. The record is from RNAcentral.
UGAGUACGAGACGCUAAGGCGUUGGAGUAGUGGAUGUCAUACUUCCGAGAAAAGCUUGCACUGUCAUUAAUAAAAAAUGCCUGUACCAUAACCGACACAGGUGGGUAGGUAGAGUAUACUAAGGGGCGCGAGAUAACUCUCUCUAAGGAACUCGGCAAAAUGACUCCGUAACUUCGGGAGAAGGAGUGCCUUAUUCGUAAGGCUGCAAUAACAAGAUCCAAGCAACUGUUUAUCAAAAACACAGGUCUCCGCUAAGUCGUAAGACGAUGUAUGGGGGCUGACGCCUGCCCAGUGCCAGAAGGUUAAAGAAGUCGGUUAGCAUUAGCGAAGCUGGUAACUGAAGCCCUGGUGAACGGCGGCCGUAACAAUAACGGUCCUAAGGUAGCGAAAUUCCUUGUCGGGUAAGUUCCGACCCGCACGAAAGGCGUAAUGAUUUGGAUACUGUCUCGGAGAGGGGCUGAAAUAGACUUGUCUGUGAAGAUGCGACUACCUGCACCAGGACAGAAAGACCCUAUGAAGCUUUACUGUAACUUGAAAUUGAAAUUGGACUUUAUUCGCGCAGUAUAGGUGGGAGGCGUUGAUUAUAAUCUUGCGGGAUUAUUGGAGCCAUCAGUGAGAUACCACUCUUGUAAUGUUAGAUUUCUAACUUUGAAUCAUUAUCUGGUCAAAGAACAGUUUCAGGCGGGCAGUUUGACUGGGGCGGUCGCCUCCUAAACGGUAACGGAGGCGUACAAAGGUUUCCUCUGAACGGGUAGAAAUCGUAUCUAGAGUGUAAAGGCAUAAGGAAGCUUGACUGUGAGACCUACAAGUCGAGCAGGGACGAAAGUCGGUCUUAGUGAUCUGACGGUACUGAGUGGAAAGGCCGUCACUCAACGGAUAAAAGUUACUCUAGGAUAACAGGCUGAUCUCCCCCAAGAGUUCACAUCGACGGGGAGGUUUGGCACCUCGAUGUCGGCUCAUCGCAUCCUGGGGCGGUAGUACGUCCCAAGGGUUGGGCUGUUCGCCCAUGAAAGCGGUACGCGAGCUGGGUUCAGAACGUCGUGAGACAGUUCGGUCCAUAUCCGGUGUAGGCGUUAGAAUAUUGAGAGGAGCCUUCUUUAGUACGAGAGGACCGAGAAGGACAUACCUCUGGUGUACCAGUUAUCGUGCCAACGGUAAACGCUGGGUAGCUAUGUAUGGAGUGGAUAACCGCUGAAAGCAUCUAAGUGGGAAGCCCACCUCAAGAUAAG